AUUGAACGCUGGCGGCAUGCCUUACACAUGCAAGUCGAACGGCAGCACGGGUGCUUGCACCUGGUGGCGAGUGGCGAACGGGUGAGUAGUACAUCGAAACGUACCUUAUCGUGGGGGAUAACGCAGCGAAAGCUGUGCUAAUACCGCAUACGCCCUGAGGGGGAAAGCGGGGGAUCGCAAGACCUCGCGCGAUUAGAGCGGCCGAUGCCUGAUUAGCUUGUUGGUGGGGUAAAAGCCCACCAAGGCGACGAUCAGUAGCUGGUCUGAGAGGACGAUCAGCCACACUGGGACUGAGACACGGCCCAGACUCCUACGGGAGGCAGCAGUGGGGAAUUUUGGACAAUGGGGGCAACCCUGAUCCAGCAAUGCCGCGUGAGUGAGGAAGGCCUUCGGGUUGUAAAGCUCUUUUGUCAGGGAAGAAACACCGGCUCUAACACAGUCCGGGAAUGACGGUACCUGAAGAAUAAGCACCGGCUAACUACGUGCCAGCAGCCGCCGUAA
Molecule: ribosomal RNA, 501 nt
Filed under: uncultured bacterium
Lineage: Bacteria
Description: partial 16S ribosomal RNA
Rfam family: Bacterial small subunit ribosomal RNA
Source: RNAcentral